Molecule: non-coding RNA, 602 nt
Organism: Alligator mississippiensis (American alligator)
Lineage: Eukaryota; Metazoa; Chordata; Crocodylia; Alligatoridae
Source: the annotation of a RefSeq genome assembly
ACCAACACACAAGAGCUUCCCCCAACACCAGGGAAGAUGGGACUUGGGCUCCACCUGCUUGUCCUGGCCGCAGCUCUGCAAGGUGCUUGGUCCCAGGGGCAGCUGGUAGAGUCUGGAGGAGACAUGAGGAAACCUGGAGACUCUCUGCGCCUCUCCUGCAAAGCCUCUGGGUUCACCUUCAGUAGCUACUACAUGUACUGGGUCCGCCAGGCUCCUGGGAAGGGGCUGGACUGGGUGGGUGAAAUUAACAGUGGUGGAUCCGGCCAGUGGUACUCCCCAGCUCUUCAGGGGCGAUUCACCAUCUCCAGAGACAACUCCCAGAACAUGCUGUACCUGCAGAUGAGCAGCCUCAAACCCGAGGACACAGCCCUCUAUUACUGUGCCAGACACACAGUGACUCAAACCCUAUUCAUGGCAAUACAAAAUCCCAGCUCAGAUCCUCCCUUCUAAAAUGCCAGGAGGGGGCAGCCACGCUGCACAGCACAGCCCUGCACAGAGGCAGGAGGGGACACAGGGGACAGGGGAGAACAGACCCCAGGCGCUAGACUCCUUUUCACUCCAGGAGCCCUGACAAAAGCCACCCCCAGCCCCAACUCUGCAGA